AGACGAAGACGAAGAAAAAGAAACCAAUACUAAUUAAAUUAAUGAUAAAUGAAAUAUAAAAAAAAGGAAGAUUUUUUGUAACGCUAAUUAUAACAGAAUAUAUACUUUAUAUAUACAAAUAAAAAAGAAAAAGAGAAAAAAACAAAACACAGCAAGCAAGCAACCACACAGAAAUAGGGGAAAAAAGUAUACUUAAAAGCAAUUGAAAAGUAGUAAAACAAUACCGGAGAAGUAGACAUACAUAGCUGAGAAGUUGGCUUUCGCCUUCGCAUAGAUACGUUCGGUCGUUUUCGACAAACAGCACUCAAAUACAAAUGCAAAUACAAAUACUAUUACAUCUGCGAGAG
This is a long non-coding RNA of Glossina fuscipes, 347 nucleotides long. RefSeq lists it as uncharacterized. NCBI's taxonomy places the organism in Eukaryota, Metazoa, Arthropoda, Insecta, Diptera, Glossinidae. The transcript is spliced from 2 exons. The record is from RefSeq and is a predicted model, not a curated record.